RNAcentral lists this ribosomal RNA (117 nucleotides) under Sinocyclocheilus anshuiensis. The record is from RNAcentral. Lineage: Eukaryota; Metazoa; Chordata; Actinopteri; Cypriniformes; Cyprinidae.
GGCCACAGCCAUAUCAACCUGAAGCCCAAGACUGGUUGCCCACUGAAGCUAAGCAGGGUUGAGCCUGGUCAGUACCUGGAUGGGAGACCUCCUGGGAAAACUAGGUUGCUGUUGGAA